Molecule: ribosomal RNA, 251 nt
Filed under: uncultured bacterium
Lineage: Bacteria
Description: partial 16S ribosomal RNA
Rfam family: Bacterial small subunit ribosomal RNA
Source: RNAcentral
UACGGAGGGUGCAAACGUUGCUCGGAAUCAUUGGGCGUAAAGCGCACGUAGGCGGUCCAGCAAGUCGGGUGUGAAAGCCCUCGGCUUAACCGAGGAAGUGCAUUCGAAACUACUGGACUUGAGUACUGAAGAGGAUCGCGGAAUUCCCGGUGUAGAGGUGAAAUUCGUAGAUAUCGGGAGGAACACCAGUGGCGAAGGCGGCGAUCUGGGCAGAUACUGACGCUGAGGUGCGAAAGCGUGGGAGCAACAGG